GCAAACACAAGUUGGUCAUUGUUCAUGCAAGAAAUGGGCCCUUUGUGUCAGAAAACAAGAGUCUGGAAGACAAGGGAGGGAGAGUUCAGCGUUGCAAUGACAUGUCCUGGGCAACACAGAGGGCCGGCUCCUCGGUGCUGACAUUCCGUUUCUGCCUCCUGCCUUUCCCCUUUCAUCAACCUACACCCACCUGAGUUCCGGCACCCACACCUGGCCCUACGAAGGAGAUGUGAGCCAAGGCAGAGAAGCCACAGCCUGCCCUGGCCUUCCCAGCCCUUUGUCUCUGGAGGAGCCCCGCUAUCUUCUGGCUUUUGCUCAAGUCCCUCCCCUCUAAGCCUCUUCGGACCCUUUCUUCCCAGAGCCGGGGUUCUGAAGAACGGCAACAGAUCAGCAGCUGUGACUGGCCCACCACUAAUACCUACAGGAUGGCUGCCACAGGCUGAUACAAGCAUAGAAACAGGCUGUGGAUGAGAUUUGCCAUCUCCAGAGCAAGAACAAUAAGAAAAUGAAGAACUAUAUGCACAUGAUCUCAAGCUUCCUGUUACCUGCAUCCACCCAGCAGAGCUGAGAGGAGAAUGCAUCAAAGGUCAGGCCAUUGGGCAGGCCCAGGUUGUCCUGUGCGAGAAUCCUCCGGUUGGUGCCGUCCAUGUAAGAAGUCUCAAUUUUGGGAUUCUCUCUGUUCCAAUCUGUCCAAUAAAGGUUCCUGAAGAGGUAACAGGGGAGAAAGAGGAAGCAAGGGCCUGAAAACACUUUCAGAGAACCAGGGAGGAAGCGCUCAGCAGACAGGAAAACAACACAGCUAAGUGAGACCCUGAGAUGCUAAAAGAGAUUCCAGGGUUAUCUUGGCUCUUUGUUCAAAUGGGGUUAUCUGUUAUUAUCAAAUUCUGCUUCCUUUAUAGUAUCUUGGGAAAGCUAGUAAGAAAACUUGGAGGUCCUGGGGCGGGGACGGGAGGGCAGUUCAAUGGGCAAAGUGAGGACCAGUAUUCAAUCCCCAGUACUAUGGAAAAAAGAAAAAAAGCUGAGUGUGGUGACUGAGGCUUGUGAUCCCAGGGCUGGGGAAAAGGAGGCAGGUGGGUCACUGGGUCUCUCUGGCUAGCCAGCUUGCCCUACUGGGGGAGGGACAGGCCAGUGAGAGACCCUGCUCAAGGUGCAAAAGGUGGCCAUUGCCUGAAGAAUGAUACACAAGGCUUGUUACCAAACACACACGCACGCACACACACUCAUCAACUUGGACCUGACAUAAACAAACAGUAAUUCCCUGAGUAAUAAACCUCUGUAGGAGGCCACAGUAGAGCAACAUGGUAUGACUAAAGCAAGAUGUAGAUACCAGCAAGGUAGUGAUGGAGAUGUCUGCUGCAUGUGAGGGGGCUGAGUGGCCAUAGCACAAGCGAUGUUGUCUCCAAGGGAAAGCAUCAAAAUGUCUAGGAGCUUGGGCCUGGGGUGUAAGACCAAGAGCUUGCCAUACAGUGAAACGGGAGAAAGCCGCAAUGGGCCGAAAAGUCCCUCAGGAAGGGGACUCCAGGAUGCUCAAGCCACAUCUGCUCCAACAAGGAGUGCCGGGGCAUGGUCAGGCCACCCCAACAGCCUCACGGUAUUUAUGCAAUUUGAGUAUUAGUUCACAUUCACUAUAUAGAAAUGACUCCAUUUCUGAGCUGUCACCCUACAAAGUCUCUUGGCAAAAAUGUGAAACUGGACCAUGGUAUCAAGUCCACACUGUGUAGACUUGGUUUCAUCUUGCAUGGAUGAAACAUCUCAGGAGAGCAAUGCUGGCAUUAGAACCUCCUCUGAGACCACCCAAGAAAGCCAGACACUCAAAGAAGAGACCGACGCAUGUGUGCAGGCAAACGCACCCUCUUACGGAGUCCGUCACAAUGCCUCUGGGAUUCACCAACCCCGUGUCAAACAGUACUCGACGCUGUGUGCCAUCCAUCUUUGCGACUUCUAUUCGAUCCUGCUGAGAGUCUGUCCAGAAGAUGUUGCGGCCAAGAUGGUCAAGGGCAAUGCCUUCAGGGCUUCCAAGAUCUAGAAGGAAAACACUGAGUCAUACCCUAGCCUAUAAGUUUGCUGGUUUACUCAGUUGUCUUAGACAUGGUGGUCAAACCUUGAGAAACCAAAUGGGAAUACGAAAUUCUUACUGUUUAUGGGUAAUCUUCCAAGUGACAAAUUAAAAAAUGCUACCCAUCCAUCCUCACCUAUCCACUGGGUACCACACCGGGAACCUGGAAGGUCACUGUGACAAAGAUGCAACCCUGUCCAUUAAGAAGCCCACAGCCAACCACCAUCCAAACUGAGGUCUAGUUUCUAUGGGCAGAUAGAGUGGCAGGACCAGAGGAGGACUGGCGUUCACGAGGGAAGGGUUCUGGAGAAGUGUGGGCACCUGUCGAAGAAGCUGCUUCCUGAAGGACCAAUGAGAGUUUAUCAGACAAGGACCUUGACUAAGUGUUUUCAGACAUAAAGAAGACUACAAGUGGCUUGAAGUGGGCUGCAAGUCAUUUUCUAUGGCCAGAGACCACGAGAGGGAAGGAGUAGCCCUCAGUGAAAUGAGGACGGAGAGCACACGGCGGCAGAGCAGACUCUGGGAGAGGCCACUGCAGGCUCAGAAGCCACAGGAAGGAAUGGAAUGGUGACUUUAGUCUCAUGAACCACAAAGAUGGACUAUGUAAGCUUCCAGAGAAAGGCACAGGCACCUGCCUUGUUUCAGUUUUAUUAGCCUGAGACAAGCAGCUGACCUCAGCCAGAAUGUCCCUGAUUUAAUGACUCGGUGACCUGUGGGAAACGCCAGAGGAGUUGAAAAAAGUAGAGUGUGGAGGCAGAGGACCCAGCUCCUUGCAAUCCAAGCAGCUUUCUCCAUCCUCCACCUCCUGCCAAGAGCAGUGUGGGCUGCUAGAGGCAGCACCCAAAGGGACAAUAUUGGCUUGCUCACCUUGUCGAAUGAUGGUGGUUGGCUCCCCGCCAUGUAGGCUGGCUCUCCCAAUGGAAGGCUCGCUGAUGUCUGUCCAGUAAACCACCUUGUCCACACAGUCAAAGGCCAGCCCAAUGAUGACUUUUGCCUGGAAGUGACACCAGUGAUUGGGAACAGUUCACCCACUAGUUAGUUAUUGUUGUCUGGAAACUUCCCAUGUGCCUAUAUAUCUCCUCAGAUAGUAUUUUACAUGAAACAAAUAUGCUUUGUCCAUUCACAGUUUUUAAUUGUUGAAUUGUAGAAACUACAUAGUUCAGAAAAAAAACUCUUUUCUAAA
Non-coding RNA from Peromyscus maniculatus bairdii (prairie deer mouse), 3239 nucleotides. NCBI's taxonomy places the organism in Eukaryota, Metazoa, Chordata, Mammalia, Rodentia, Cricetidae. The record is from RefSeq and is a predicted model, not a curated record.